GGUCAUGUGGCCUAGUGGUCAUGGCAUCUGCCCGGUAAGCGGAAGGUCGUGGGUUCGUUUUGACACUUUUUUUA
Molecule: non-coding RNA, 74 nt
Organism: Cordylochernes scorpioides
Lineage: Eukaryota; Metazoa; Arthropoda; Arachnida; Pseudoscorpiones; Chernetidae
Source: the annotation of a GenBank genome assembly